CGCUUCUUUCCUCCCGAGUGCUUGCACUCAAUUGGAAAGAGGAGUGGCGGACGGGUGAGUAACACGUGGGUAACCUACCCAUCAGAGGGGGAUAACACUUGGAAACAGGUGCUAAUACCGCAUAACAGUUUAUGUCGCAUGGCAUAAGAGUGAAAGGCGCUUUCGGGUGUCGCUGAUGGAUGGACCCGCGGUGCAUUAGCUAGUUGGUGAGGUAACGGCUCACCAAGGCCACGAUGCAUAGCCGACCUGAGAGGGUGAUCGGCCACACUGGGACUGAGACACGGCCCAGACUCCUACGGGAGGCAGCAGUAGGGAAUCUUCGGCAAUGGACGAAAGUCUGACCGAGCAACGCCGCGUGAGUGAAGAAGGUUUUCGGAUCGUAAAACUCUGUUGUUAGAGAAGAACAAGGACGUUAGUAACUGAACGUCCCCUGACGGUAUCUAACCAGAAAGCCACGGCUAACUACGUGCCAGCAGCCGCGGUAAUACGUAGGUGGCAAGCGUUGUCCGGAUUUAUUGGGCGUAAAGCGAGCGCAGGCGGUUUCUUAAGUCUGAUGUGAAAGCCCCCGGCUCAACCGGGGAGGGUCAUUGGAAACUGGGAGACUUGAGUGCAGAAGAGGAGAGUGGAAUUCCAUGUGUAGCGGUGAAAUGCGUAGAUAUAUGGAGGAACACCAGUGGCGAAGGCGGCUCUCUGGUCU
This 697-nucleotide ribosomal RNA is filed under the name uncultured Bacilli bacterium. Its description in RNAcentral is "bacterial SSU rRNA". It matches the Rfam family "Bacterial small subunit ribosomal RNA", at positions 67 to 735 of the family's 1533-position model. Lineage: Bacteria; Bacillati; Bacillota; Bacilli. The record is from RNAcentral.